Non-coding RNA from Phrynosoma platyrhinos (Desert horned lizard), 72 nucleotides. Lineage: Eukaryota; Metazoa; Chordata; Lepidosauria; Squamata; Phrynosomatidae. The record is from the annotation of a GenBank genome assembly.
GCCAGUGUGGCACAGUGGUUUGAGCAUUGGACCAGGACUCUGGAGACCAGGGUUCGAUUCCCUGCUUGGCCA